UACGUAGGGUGCGAGCGUUGUCCGGAAUUAUUGGGCGUAAAGAGCUCGUAGGCGGCUUGUCGCGUCGGAUGUGAAAGCCCGGGGCUUAACCCCGGGUCUGCAUUCGAUACGGGCAGGCUAGAGUUCGGUAGGGGAGAUCGGAAUUCCUGGUGUAGCGGUGAAAUGCGCAGAUAUCAGGAGGAACACCGGUGGCGAAGGCGGAGCUCUGGGCCGAUACUGACGCUGAGGAGCGAAAGCGUGGGGAGCGAACAGG
Molecule: ribosomal RNA, 253 nt
Filed under: uncultured bacterium
Lineage: Bacteria
Description: partial 16S ribosomal RNA
Rfam family: Bacterial small subunit ribosomal RNA
Source: RNAcentral